GACGAACGCUGGCGGCGUGCCUAAUACAUGCAAGUUGAGCGCUGAAGGUUGGUACUUGUCCCAACUGGAUGAGCAGCGAACGGGUGAGUAACGCGUGGGGAAUCUGCCUUUGAGCGGGGGACAACAUUUGGAAACGAAUGCUAAUACCGCAUAAAAACUUUAAACACAAGUUUUAAGUUUGAAAGAUGCAAUUGCAUCACUCAAAGAUGAUCCCGCGUUGUAUUAGCUAGUUGGUGAGGUAAAGGCUCACCAAGGCGAUGAUACAUAGCCGACCUGAGAGGGUGAUCGGCCACAUUGGGACUGAGACACGGCCCAAACGCCUACGGGAGGCAGCAGUAGGGAAUCUUCGGCAAUGGACGAAAGUCUGACCGAGCAACGCCGCGGGAGUGAAGAAGGGUUUCGGAUCGUAAAACUCUGUUGGUAGAGAAGAACGUUGGUGAGAGUGGAAAGCUCAUCAAGUGACGGUAACUACCCAGAAAGGGACGGCUAACUACGUG
This 497-nucleotide ribosomal RNA is filed under the name uncultured bacterium. RNAcentral describes it as "partial 16S ribosomal RNA". It matches the Rfam family "Bacterial small subunit ribosomal RNA", at positions 28 to 507 of the family's 1533-position model. The record is from RNAcentral.